RNAcentral lists this ribosomal RNA (253 nucleotides) under uncultured bacterium. Its description in RNAcentral is "partial 16S ribosomal RNA". It matches the Rfam family "Bacterial small subunit ribosomal RNA", at positions 524 to 776 of the family's 1533-position model. The record is from RNAcentral.
UACAGAGGGUGCGAGCGUUAAUCGGAAUUACUGGGCGUAAAGCGCACGUAGGUGGCGACGUAAGUCGGGUGUGAAAGCCCCGGGCUCAACCUGGGAAUUGCAUUCGAGACUGCAUUGCUGGAGUACGGAAGAGGAAGGCGGAAUUCCCGGUGUAGCGGUGAAAUGCGUAGAGAUCGGGAGGAAGGCCGGUGGCGAAGGCGGCGCUCUGGAACAUUUCUGACGCUGAGGCUCGAAAGCGUGGGGAGCAAACAGG